This is a long non-coding RNA of Cimex lectularius (bed bug), 3005 nucleotides long. RefSeq lists it as uncharacterized. The transcript has 4 exons. Lineage: Eukaryota; Metazoa; Arthropoda; Insecta; Hemiptera; Cimicidae. The record is from RefSeq and is a predicted model, not a curated record.
AUCAGGGUCGUUACGCUUCGGACGACGUUCUCCAUGAAUUCCAGUUUGAUAGGUUCGAGUCGGAUGGGGCGACGUCAGGGUUAUAAGCAGGGAGAGUUUGAUUGGUUCGAGUCGGAUGGGGCGACGUCAGGGUAUAAGCAGGGAGAGGCAACUAUAUUUUAUCACAUUUCAUCUUUCAGCUUUGAUUCUGGUGAUGAUAUAACAAGUUUAUUAUUUUUCAAGGAAUCCCUGCAUACUACUAAUCAACAUAGUGAAUGUUUUAAUUUGAUUGGUUCGAGUCGGACGGGGCGACGUCAAGGUUUAUAAGCAGGGAGAGGCAACUAUAUUUUAUCAAAUUUCAUCUUUCUGUUUUGGUUCUGAUGAUUAUAUAACAAAUUUUAUUACUUUUGAAGGAUAUCCCUGGAUACUAGUCCACAUCGUGAAUGUUUUACUUUGAUUGGUUCGAGUCGGUUGGGGCGACGUCAGGGUUAUAAGCAGGGAGAGGCAACUAUAUUUAAUCACUUUUCUCCUUUCAACUUUGAAUCUUUGGAUGAUAUAAUAAAUCAAUUGGUUUUGAGAGGAAAGGUUUCAUUUAACUGGCUGGAGUCAGAUAGUGCGAUAUCAAGAUUAUAAGCGGGGAGAGGCAACUAUAUUUUUAUUAUGUUUCUUCGUUCAGCUUUGAAUCUUUGAAUGAAAUAAUUAUUAGUUUUGAGGCAAAAUACUCCUUGCAUCCUAAUCGAUAUCUAAAUCCUAAUCGUCGAAGUCUGGUAUAAGCAGGGAGAGGAAAGACGCUGAAGGCUUAUGCUCUGAAUUUUGCUUGAGCAGUUGGAAACCGAUGAAUAAUCAUAUUUUACGACAGUAUAAUAACUAUUAGUUUUAAGUUACAAAAAACCUUUCCUGCCUAAUUUCAUACGUUUGAGUUUUUUAUCCGAACGGUGAGUGCGGCGCUACGUCAGGGUAUAAGCAGGGAGAGGCAAGACGCUGAAACUUCUUCUUUAAAAAGGACUGAAUCUUCCUGUUGGGAAUUUUGCUUGUGUCAAUUGGAAAGCGACGAUUAAUCACAUAUUAAAAUAAGCAUAGAAUUUAUAUGAAGUUUCAGUUAAAAAACAACCCUCCAUAAUCAAGGUAUCCAAAUAGGGCAGCGUCAGGGUUAUAAGCAGGGAGUGGAAAUACCUUGAAUGAUAACGCUGUGAAUUUGCUCUGUGCCAAGGGGAAACGGUGAACAUUGGCGUUGUCGGGAUUGAUGCUGAUUGAUUUGUCACAUGGCAUAAUGCAGGGAAAUAAGCAGGGAGAGGCAUGAGCCAAAGCCAACAAUGAGAAAGAGUGCUUUCUUGUUGCAUCAGUUUCUAUUUCAAUUGAUGAAAGCAAAUAAUUUUAUUAUUAGUACUUCAUAGAAGUAACGCGAGGAACUAGAACAAAGUGCGGAGUGUAUUACAACUUAAAUAAACACAAAAAAACGCGGAUUGCGAGGCGUCAGGGUUAUAAGAUAGGUGAGACAAGACACUACCUCUUUCCAUUUUGCAAAUUUGGUCUGUAUCAAGCGAGUGGUUUGAAGUGACUUUGGUCUCCUGGCUAGAGCUCAGGGUAUAAGCAGGGCGAGGCAAAACUUUUCCUAUAAUUCUGAGGCCGCGGUGACCGAGUGGUUAGGACCGUCUCGUAUAUGCCAGCGGUUCUGAGUUCGAAUCCGGGCAUAGCCCGUGGCUUUUCAAUUUAAAAUAAUAUGAAAAAAGUAUUGCAAAAUGGUUAACUGUGGUAGUUGGGUGAUAAACCUCCCCGCAGGAAUUCAUUUACGUUUUGCGUAUAAUUUUAUACGAACGGUGUUUCCAUUUAAAUAAAUCACGAAUUGUGAUCGAUAAUCUUCGAGGAGUAGCUUACAUUCUCACGUAAUUCAGCAUUAGUCACCAAUACUAAAGUUCUUAAAAGCUGGAAUUUUUCUUUUAAAACUGAAACGUAUGAUACACUUCAGGAUUGAACCUAAAAAAGCACUAUAUUGUUAAAAACAAUUAACAAAAUUUUAUUUAGCGAAUUCCGUAAAAAAAGCCUCCAAUAUCAAAAAUAUAUUUGGCAUUUUUCGAACUAAUGAAUGGAGGACACCUGGUUAUCAUUCAAGUGUCACUUUGUAUACAGAUUAGCUUUAAAAUUUCUCAAAAUCAAUUCUUUAAAUUUUUUUUCUUAAACGUCAGAUCAGUCCGGAAAAAUUGUAACGGUUGCGAACUUGGACGUGUAAGGAAACUGGAACACCUUCGGGAUUGUCAUUAAAGUCACUCGGACAUUCCAGUGUUACACAAAUUGUUCAACGGUCUUCUGAGUUUUAUUUAUAAAUUUGAACUAAUUCAAGGCGUUGCUUUUCGAAAUGGAAUCUCACUUUUAUUUUUCUUUACUUUCAGCCAACCGCAUGCUGACAAAAGGAAUUUGUCCAAAACGCAACAAAACUUGUUAUCGUUAAUUAAAUUGAGAAUGAUCAACAGCCAGCUCCUUGCUGUCUCCUGGAUUUCAAGGUCUGCACCAAUCUCCACAAUGCUCAGUCCACACUCCAAGGAUAAUCGGGGCAAGUCUUUUAUUUUUUACAAGGAUUUAAGGAGGAUUUUUUUUUUUUGAAACGGUAGUUUCGUUCAAAUUUUUUCACGGCGCUUAGAACUUCUCAUUUUACCAUUGAAUACCAGUGAGAUUAUUUGCUACAUUAAAUUGUCAUCAUGACAUAUAAAAGGCCAUUGGUGAAAUAGUUGUAGAAAGGUUGUGAAGAAAAUAUGUAACAAGUAGAGAUUUUUAAAAAAUGAAAUAAAAUGAAAGGUCUUCAUCAGGGUAGCGUCCUAGGAUCAAUUUUGUAUCUAUUUUUUACCAGUGUUCUGUCCCCACCAAAAAUCACCCUUUUAGCAAUAUUCACUGACAGACACGACAGCUUUUUUUGAAAAAUAGUAUUAACUAUGAUAUGGUUGAAAACAGUGAUUUCCAAGGUGGUUUGGAUGUAAUUUUAAAUCAUUAAAUUCACCAAUUUCGUGGUCCGCUUGACCAAUUAAUAUAUUAAA